RNAcentral lists this ribosomal RNA (413 nucleotides) under uncultured microorganism. Its description in RNAcentral is "bacterial SSU rRNA". It matches the Rfam family "Archaeal small subunit ribosomal RNA", at positions 459 to 872 of the family's 1478-position model. The record is from RNAcentral.
CAGCCGCGCGGUAAUACCGGCGGCCCGAGUGGCGGUCACUAUUAUUGGGGUUAAAGCGUCCGUAGCCGGGUUGGGAAGUCCUCCGGGAAAUCUGGCCGCUUAACGGUCAGAAUGCCGGAGGAUACUCCCAGCCUAGGGAGCGGGAGAGGCCGAGGGUAUUCCCGGAGUAGGGGUGAAAUCCUAUAAUCCCGGGAGGACCACCUGUGGCGAAGGCGCUCGGCUGGAACGCGUCCGACGGUGAGGGACGAAGGCCAGGGGAGCAAACCGGAUUAGAUACCCGGGUAGUCCUGGCUGUAAACGAUGCGGACUUUGUGUCGGACAAGCUAUGAGCUUGUCCGGUGCCGGAGGGAAACCGUUAAGUCCGCCGCCUGGGGAGUACGGCCGCAAGGCUGAAACUUAAAGGAAUUGGCGGG